Molecule: small RNA, 437 nt
Filed under: Marinobacter similis
Lineage: Bacteria; Pseudomonadati; Pseudomonadota; Gammaproteobacteria; Pseudomonadales; Marinobacteraceae
Description: cspA thermoregulator
Rfam family: cspA thermoregulator
Source: Rfam by way of RNAcentral
CAGUUAUUCGCGUAGGAAAGAUUCAGUAAAGCAUUUCAUGAAUAAGACGUACCUCCGCAGUUAGUAGUGACCGUCCUGUUUUUGAUUCCGCGAGUUCUGUAUUUCCGUGAACGCCAGCCUACGCCACGAGGUGUACGGCGGCAGAUUAAAUGAUUGAUUUCAGGAAGUUUAAGUAUGUCUACUACUACCGGUACUGUUAAGUUCUUCAACGAAGCUAAAGGCUUUGGCUUUAUUACUCGUGAAGGCGGCCCGGACGUAUUCGUUCACUACAGCGCAAUUCAGGGCAGCGGUUUCAAGACCCUGGCAGAAGGCCAGCAGGUUGAGUUCACCGUUACCCAGGGCCAGAAAGGUCCUCAGGCGGAGAAUGUUACUGCUCUGUAAUCCUUUAAGGAUCAGGCAUUAACAGAAAAAAGGCAGCUCAGGCUGCCUUUUUUUGU